CUGGUGACUAGUUUUUAUAAAAUUUAGUAUGGGGGAAGAUGUCAGACCCUUGGCAUAUGGUUUUGUAUUAUUGUAAUUGUUGUCGCAAUAAUGCACGAGUGGGAAGCACUUGGCGGUCUUCCCUCGGCGGCGACUCCCAUUGCCCUGAGCCUGGCGCCCCUCCGUCGUCACCACAUGGUCCACAUCCACCCCCCAUGGAAAACCGUCUCUGCUUUCAACAGAUUUCUCUUUUCUGAGACUGCUUCGUUUUCUCCGCUCCCUUCCCCCUCUGCAAUUCUCCAAUCUCAAAUGCUCCGUUGCUCUCCCUCCCCACUCUUCAAUGCUGGCGUCUUCCUCUUCCUAGAUUGACGAAACCCGCGCGCCACAGCACCAGCAUUCACUCACUCGCAUGGCGACGUCUUCUUCUGUUGCUGCUUCUCCCUUCUGCUCGUGCCACAACGACCGGCCGAUCAGGCCCUCGUCUCCCAAGAUAUUAGGCAGGCGGAAGGGCUCUUCAUCGUAUCACCAAUACAGCAAACAGUUCCGAUUCCUAAGGGAGGGUUUGAUUUCUUUUUCUUCCUCGUCAUUGGGUGGAUCCGACUCUGCUCCAAUGGCUUGCAGACAGAGACGCCCCAUUCGAGCUGUACUGUCGGGGGAAGCCAUGGCUAUAGCUGUCCAACCUGGAAAUGAUGUCACAACUAAGAAGAAACCUACAAACCAGAGACGGGUAGUUGUGACUGGGAUGGGUGUGGUGACACCAAUUGGUGAUGAUCCGAACAUUUUCUACAACAAUCUACUUGAGGGUGUUAGUGGCAUAAGUGAGAUUGAGGCUUUUGACUGUUCUCACUUCCCAACGAGAAUUGCUGGAGAGAUCAAGUCUUUCUCAACUGAUGGAUUGGUUGCACCAAAACUUUCUAGAAGAAUGGAUAAAUUUAUGCUUUAUAUGCUCAUUGCUGGCAAAAAAGCUUUGACAGAUGGUGGCCUCCAAGAAAACAUGAUGGAUGAGUUCGAUAAAACUAAAUGCGGUGUUUUGAUUGGCUCUGCAAUGGGUGGCAUGAAGGUUUUCAAUGAUGCAUUAGAAGCUUUAAGGGUCUCCUAUAGGAAGAUGAACCCUUUCUGUGUGCCUUUUGCUACUACCAAUAUGGGCUCUGCGGUGCUUGCAAUGGAUCUGGGAUGGAUGGGUCCUAACUAUUCAAUCUCUACUGCCUGUGCUACAAGUAAUUUCUGCAUAUUGAAUGCAGCAAAUCAUAUCAUUAGAGGUGAAGCUGACGUGAUGCUUUCUGGUGGUUCGGAUGCAGCAAUCAUACCCAUCGGCUUGGGUGGUUUUGUAGCAUGCCGAGCAUUGUCACAGAGAAAUAGUGAUCCCACCAAAGCCUCCCGCCCCUGGGAUAUUAAUCGUGAUGGAUUUGUUAUGGGAGAAGGGGCUGGUGUUCUACUUUUAGAAGAAUUAGAGCAUGCGAAGAAAAGAGGUGCAACUAUCUAUGCAGAAUUUCUGGGUGGAAGUUUCACAAGCGAUGCUUAUCACAUGACUGAACCUCAUCCCAAAGGGGCUGGUGUCAGUCUUUGCAUAGAGAAGGCCUUGGCUCAAUCUGGGGUAUGCAGGGAAGAUGUAAAUUACAUAAAUGCACAUGCUACAUCCACACCAGCUGGAGAUAUUAAAGAGUAUGAGGCUCUCGUUCGUUGUUUUGGCCAGAAUUCUGAGUUAAAAGUGAACUCCACGAAAUCAAUGAUUGGUCACCUACUUGGGGCAGCUGGAGCCGUGGAAGCUGUUGCUACAGUACAGGCUAUACGGACAGGAUGGGUUCACCCAAACAUCAAUCUUGAGAACCCACAUGAGGGCGUAGACACAAACGUACUGGUGGGCCCAAAGAAAGAGAAACUGGACAUUAAGGUGGCAUUAUCGAAUUCAUUUGGGUUUGGUGGCCACAACUCUUCAAUUUUGUUUGCUCCUUACAAGUAGAUGCAGUCCGCUACCUGAGCUCCUUAAUUGAUGCUGCAAGUAUGUGGGGCCUCCUGGGUCUCUGGCAUGGCCUCCGGUCGGUUUUCUCUCCUUCUUCUUGUGACUUGCCGGUUGUCUUUCUCCGCGGCAAGGUCCAGUGAAGCUAGGGUUUUGGUUCUUCAAAGUUGCAGGCACCUUUUCAGGAAAGUGAUAGGCAGAUCUUCAGGAACAGUGAAAUUGCACAAAUGGGCUCUGUUGUGGCGGUCUUUGAAAAUCCUUGGCUGCUUCAACCGUCGAUGAGAUGAGGAGAGAGGGGAAAUCCUUCCUUGCAAGCACGCAGCUAGCAUCUUACCCUUUCUCCCCUGGGGUGGAAUAGAACUCGUCGAGGUCAUGUUGUUUUUGAUAAAUAAAAUCCAUCAUAGAGUUUAUGUUAUUUGGGUGCUUGUCAAGUGUGUAGGUAGUUGUAAGAGGCAAAUGAGAUGAUACCAUUAUUAUUGUUUUGAUAAAUAAAAAUCUAUAAUUGAGGGCA
RNA transcript from Malania oleifera, 2447 nucleotides. It is a transcript of the gene named 3-oxoacyl-[acyl-carrier-protein] synthase II, chloroplastic-like, with no coding region annotated. The transcript is spliced from 15 exons. The record is from RefSeq and is a predicted model, not a curated record. Lineage: Eukaryota; Viridiplantae; Streptophyta; Magnoliopsida; Santalales; Ximeniaceae.